AGUGAACGCUGGCGGUAGGCCUAACACAUGCAAGUCGAACGGCAGCACAGUAAGAGCUUGCUCUUACGGGUGGCGAGUGGCGGACGGGUGAGGAAUACAUCGGAAUCUACUUUUUCGUGGGGGAUAACGUAGGGAAACUUACGCUAAUACCGCAUACGACCUACGGGUGAAAGCAGGGGAUCUUCGGACCUUGCGCGAUUGAAUGAGCCGAUGUCGGAUUAGCUAGUUGGCGGGGUAAAGGCCCACCAAGGCGACGAUCCGUAGCUGGUCUGAGAGGAUGAUCAGCCAAACUGGAACUGAGACACGGUCCAGACUACUAAGGGAGGCAGCAGUGGGGAAUAUUGGACAAUGGGCGGAAGCCUGAUCCAGACAUACCGCGUGGGUGAAGAAGGCCUUCGGGUUGUAAAGCCCUUUUGUUGGGAAAGAAAAGCAGCAGGUUAAUACCCCGCUGUUCUGACGGUACCCAAAGAAUAAGCACCGGCUAACUUCGUG
RNAcentral lists this ribosomal RNA (492 nucleotides) under uncultured bacterium. Its description in RNAcentral is "partial 16S ribosomal RNA". It matches the Rfam family "Bacterial small subunit ribosomal RNA", at positions 29 to 507 of the family's 1533-position model. The record is from RNAcentral.